AGUUAUAAGGCAAUUUGUUGUUUGGGAUGUUAGCUCUCAUGUCUAAUUCACUUUAAAAUCUAAUGACUUUGAUCUAUAUACACAAUUGUCAAUCUGUAUUUACUCCUGCUCUAACCCAGUCAUCAUUGUUAAGUGUAUUGAAUUAACAUGUUCUGUUCUAUCUGCUAGCUAGCAUGGCACUUUCUAUUGCAUUUAUAACUUUAUUAGUAAGUGCAGAUGUUCUGAAAUAGUAACUAAAUUACUCCCCUUUCUUGUAACUUCAGGUUUGUCAAAUUGGUUGAGUUAUUGUUAGGAUGAUCUAAACUUUGUGACAGUGGGUCCAUGACAAGGUCUGCAUACUGCCUCUGAAAAAAGCUGUCAAAGAGCCUAAAGUGAGUCGAUGAUAUACAACAUCGAUCAUAAAAGGAUUUGAUCCCAACAACAUUGGCUGCAUCAAGAUUGCAUGAAGAUAACAUGAGAAACGGAUUGAUAAGAGAGCAAGGCCAGUGAGAAGCAAAGUUAUCUUAGAAAUUCAUGUACAAGUCAAUUUUUUUAUUUUUACCUUUUGCAAAUCAUUGUAAGGCAACCUACUUUUUCAGCAGGUUUCUUGGAUUGGGAAGGGAGCAGGGCGUGCAAGGGGACUUCAUGGAUUUUAAGAGAUUAGAGAAUGAAAUUAUGGGGAUCCCUUUAGGAUGAUUCCCCCGUUUAAUUUUUUUAGCUUAGUUGUGAUGCCUAAGUUACUAAUGGAAAUGUUCUGAGAUGAAA
Panicum virgatum (switchgrass) is the source of this 744-nucleotide long non-coding RNA. RefSeq lists it as uncharacterized. The record is from RefSeq and is a predicted model, not a curated record. The transcript has 3 exons. Lineage: Eukaryota; Viridiplantae; Streptophyta; Magnoliopsida; Poales; Poaceae.